Molecule: ribosomal RNA, 434 nt
Filed under: uncultured bacterium
Lineage: Bacteria
Description: partial 16S ribosomal RNA
Rfam family: Bacterial small subunit ribosomal RNA
Source: RNAcentral
AGCGAACGCUGGCGGCAGGCCUAACACAUGCAAGUCGAACGAACCUUUCGGGGUUAGUGGCGGACGGGUGAGUAACACGUGGGAACGUGCCUUUAGGUUCGGAAUACCUCAGGGAAACUUGUGCUAAUACCGAAUGUGCCCUUCGGGGGCAAGAUUUAUCGCCUUUAGAGCGGCCCGCGUCUGAUUAGCUAGUUGGUUGAGGUAAUGGCUCACCAAGGCGACGAUCAGUAGCUGGUCUGAGAGGAUGAUCAGCCACAUUGGGACUGAGACACGGCCCAAACUCCUACGGGAGGCAGCAGUGGGGAAUCUUGCGCAAUGGGCGAAAGCCUGACGCAGCCAUGCCGCGUGAAUGAUGAAGGUCUUAGGAUUGUAAAAUUCUUUCACCGGAGACGAUAUUGACGGUACCCGGAGAAGAAGCCCCGGCUAACUUCGUG